RNAcentral lists this long non-coding RNA (740 nucleotides) under Cricetulus griseus (Chinese hamster). RNAcentral describes it as "lncRNA (ENSCGRG00000024782.1)". Lineage: Eukaryota; Metazoa; Chordata; Mammalia; Rodentia; Cricetidae. The record is from RNAcentral.
GGGGAGCACAUAGAGAAGGAAGGGGGAGGAGGGCCUUGAGACUGUGGGACUUGCCAGAGGAGGGAAAAGAGGCUGGGCUAGAAAAGGGCUGGGCCAGCCUGGGGUGCUGCUGGAGCCAGCUGGGGCAGAGUCUGUUUAUUUGGUUUCUCAUUAACCAAAGGAAGUGCUUGGAUCAGAUCAGGCCUCUGCUAUUUGACUGCUUGCCCAGAGUGGGGCCCAGCCUGGGCCGAGGGUCUCUGACCAGGGCCAGCUCUCAGCAGAUUGGGGUCUCUGCCUGACCUCAGGUCAGAGAAGAGGCCACCAAAGUUCAGGAGAGAAGAAGAGUUGGGACUGGAGAGUCUAGGUCUGUCCUUCUACUGUGAUCUCCUGGGGCAACAGGUGUCAGAGCCACCAUGGGAAGUGGUCCAUGUUGUGAACUACAAGAGUGUGAGUAGGGACUGAUAAUCAGCCAGCAUUCUGCUCAUCAACCUCUGCCUACUAAAGGAGCCCUCCACUAAUGGUACCAAGGUGCCGAGUGGGUGGGUGGGGCCUGGAGGAAGAGGGCUGGAAAUGACGACUUCUACAAGGCCUUCCCAAAUGAGAAACCUGGGUCCGUUCGCUGCAACACAUAUCUGGCCUCCACCCCAGAUGUGCAGCCGUCCCAGCAGCCAGAGGCCAGCUCACCCCACCCAGAUCGCCGGCCAGCUGCAGCCCCCUGUUUCCCAGGGAAGAGAACUAAUAAAGGACAGUCUUGAAGCCUC